GGAAAGAGCCCAGACCUGCAGCUAAGGUCCCAAAAUGUGUGUUAAGUGGAAAAGGAUGUGGGAUUUCAAAGACAACCAGGAUGUUGGCUUAGAAGCAGCCAUACAUUAAAAGAGUGCGUAAUAGCUCACUAGUCGAGAAAACCUGCGCCGAAAAUUAUCGGGGCUAAAACACGCCACCGAAGCUACGGAUUUUGUAUGAAGAAUACAAAGUGGUAGAGGAGCAAUCUGUAAGGACGAAGCCGAAGCGUAAGCGACGGUGGACGAAACAGAAGAGAGAAUGCCGGAAUGAGUAGCGAGAUAGAAGUAAGAAACUUCUAGGCCGAAUAUCUAAGGAUUCCUGAGUAAAGCUAAUCUUCUCAGGGUAAGUCGGGGCCUAAGGCGAGGGCGAAGGCCGUAGUCGAUGGAUAACUGGUAGAGAUUCCAGUACUACGAAUAAUCAGAACUGUGGGGACGCAGGAGGAUAGGAAAACCGGGGAAAGGAAAAACCCGGCUAAGCAUAAAGUUAAGGCUGAUAGGAAAAUCCGUCAGUUGAUGAUGAAAUGCGAUGGGGACUGAAUAAAAGUAAGGAAGUUUCCGAAUCCACACUGUCAAGAAAAGCCACUAUUGCGUUAUUCGUACCCGUACCGUAAACCGACACAGGUAGAUGAGGAGAAAAUCCACAGGCCGACGGGAGAAGUGUUGUUAAGGAACUCGGCAAAAUGACCCCGUAACUUAGGGAUAAGGGGAGCCACUGCAAAGUGGCCGCAGAAAAGAGGCUCAAGCGACUGUUUAGCAAAAACACAGGUCUAUGCGAAACCGUAAGGUGAAGUAUAUGGGCUGACACCUGCCCGGUGCUGGAAGGUUAAAAGGAGAGGUUAGGCGUAAGCCGAAGCUUUGAAUUCAAGCCCCAGUAAACGGCGGCCGUAACUAUAACGGUCCUAAGGUAGCGAAAUUCCUUGUCAGGUAAGUUCUGACCCGCACGAAAGGUGUAACGAUUUGAGCACUGUCUCGACAACACGCCCGGUGAAAUUGAAGAACCAGUGAAGAUACUGGUUACCCGCAACAGGACGGAAAGACCCCAUGGAGCUUUACUGCAGCCUGAUACUGGGAUUCGAUGAUAUAUGUACAGGAUAGGAGGGAGACUAUGAAGCCAGAACGCUAGUUUUGGUGGAGUCGCCGGUGGGAUACCUCUCUUAUAUUAUUGAAUUCCUAACUAAUGCCCAUCAACUGGGCAUAGGACAAUGUCAGGCGGGCAGUUUGACUGGGGCGGUCGCCUCCAAAAGAGUAACGGAGGCGCUCAAAGGUUCCCUCAGAAUGGUUGGAAACCAUUCGAAGAGUGCAAAGGCAGAAGGGAGCUUGACUGCGAGACCGACAGGUCGAGCAGGUACGAAAGUAGGGCUUAGUGAUCCGGCGGUUCCGAGUGGAAGGGCCGUCGCUCAACGGAUAAAAGCUACCC
Molecule: ribosomal RNA, 1435 nt
Filed under: wastewater metagenome
Description: bacterial LSU rRNA
Rfam family: Bacterial large subunit ribosomal RNA
Source: RNAcentral